CGUCAAAUCAGCACGGCCCUUACGUCCGGGGCGACACACGUGUUACAAUGGAAGGUACAGAGGGCUGCUACACAGUAAUGUGAUGCUAAUCUCGAAAACCUUUCUCAGUUCGGAUUGGAGUCUGCAACUCGACUCCAUGAAGUUGGAUUCGCUAGUAAUCGCGCAUCAGCCAUGGCGCGGUGAAUACGUUCCCGGGCCUU
This 200-nucleotide ribosomal RNA is filed under the name uncultured prokaryote. Its description in RNAcentral is "partial 16S ribosomal RNA". It matches the Rfam family "Bacterial small subunit ribosomal RNA", at positions 1183 to 1382 of the family's 1533-position model. The record is from RNAcentral.